Molecule: ribosomal RNA, 1096 nt
Filed under: Lactobacillus sp. 149B7_12ER2A
Lineage: Bacteria; Bacillati; Bacillota; Bacilli; Lactobacillales; Lactobacillaceae
Description: bacterial SSU rRNA
Rfam family: Bacterial small subunit ribosomal RNA
Source: RNAcentral
UCGAACGAACUCUGGUAUUGAUUGGUGCUUGCAUCAUGAUUUACAUUUGAGUGAGUGGCGAACUGGUGAGUAACACGUGGGAAACCUGCCCAGAAGCGGGGGAUAACACCUGGAAACAGAUGCUAAUACCGCAUAACAACUUGGACCGCAUGGUCCGAGUUUGAAAGAUGGCUUCGGCUAUCACUUUUGGAUGGUCCCGCGGCGUAUUAGCUAGAUGGUGAGGYAACGGCUCACCAUGGCAAUGAUACGUAGCCGACCUGAGAGGGUAAUCGGCCACAUUGGGACUGAGACACGGCCCAAACUCCURCGGGAGGCAGCAGUAGGGAAUCUUCCACAAUGGACGAAAGUCUGAUGGAGCAACGCCGCGUGAGUGAAGAAGGGUUUCGGCUCGUAAAACUCUGUUGUUAAAGAAGAACAUAUCUGAGAGUAACUGUUCAGGUAUUGACGGUAUUUAACCAGAAAGCCACGGCUAACUACGUGCCAGCAGCCGCGGUAAUACGUAGGUGGCAAGCGUUGUCCGGAUUUAUUGGGCGUAAAGCGAGCGCAGGCGGUUUUUUAAGUCUGAUGUGAAAGCCUUCGGCUCAACCGAAGAAGUGCAUCGGAAACUGGGAAACUUGAGUGCAGAAGAGGACAGUGGAACUCCAUGUGUAGCGGUGAAAUGCGUAGAUAUAUGGAAGAACACCAGUGGCGAAGGCGGCUGUCUGGUCUGUAACUGACGCUGAGGCUCGAAAGUAUGGGUAGCAAACAGGAUUAGAUACCCUGGUAGUCCAUACCGUAAACGAUGAAUGCUAAGUGUUGGAGGGUUUCCGCCCUUCAGUGCUGCAGCUAACGCAUUAAGCAUUCCGCCUGGGGAGUACGGCCGCAAGGCUGAAACUCAAAGGAAUUGACGGGGGCCCGCACAAGCGGUGGAGCAUGUGGUUUAAUUCGAAGCUACGCGAAGAACCUUACCAGGUCUUGACAUACUAUGCAAAUCUAAGAGAUUAGACGUUCCCUUCGGGGACAUGGAUACAGGUGGUGCAUGGUUGUCGUCAGCUCGUGUCGUGAGAUGUUGGGUUAAGUCCCGCAACGAGCGCAACCCUUAUUAUCAGUUGCCAGC